ACGGGGUGCAGCAGGCGCGAAAACUCCGCAAUGUUCGAAAGAACGACGGGGGAACUCCAAGUGCGCUUGCGCAAGCAAGUGCUUUUUAGUAGUGUAAAUAGCUGUUAGAAUAAGAGCUGGGUAAGACCGGUGCCAGCCGCCGCGGUAACACCGGCAGCUCAAGUGGUGACCGCUUUUAUUGGGCCUAAAGCGUUCGUAGCCGGUUCAGUAAGUCUUUGAGUAAAUCUUCUCGCUUAACGAAAAGAACUCCGAAGAUACUGCUGGACUUGGGGCCGAGAGAGGUUGGAGGUACUCCUGGGGUAGGGGUGAAAUCCUAUAAUCCUGGGGGGACCGCCAGUGGCGAAGGCGUCCAACCAGAGCGGACCCGACGGUGAGGGACGAAAGCCAGGGGCGCGAACGGGAUUAGAUACCCCGGUAGUCCUGGCUGUAAACGCUGCAUGCUAGGUGUUGCAUGCUCUACGGGGGCAUGCAGUGCCGAAGAGAAGUUGAUAAGCGUGCCGCCUGGGAAGUAUAUCGCAAGU
This 521-nucleotide ribosomal RNA is filed under the name uncultured archaeon. RNAcentral's name for it is "bacterial SSU rRNA". It matches the Rfam family "Archaeal small subunit ribosomal RNA", at positions 325 to 848 of the family's 1478-position model. The record is from RNAcentral.